This is a non-coding RNA of Penaeus vannamei (Pacific white shrimp), 2822 nucleotides long. NCBI's taxonomy places the organism in Eukaryota, Metazoa, Arthropoda, Malacostraca, Decapoda, Penaeidae. The record is from RefSeq and is a predicted model, not a curated record.
AGCCAUAGUGGUGGUUCAUUAACGGUUAACAGCGGAAACAGCAGUAAUACCAGCAUUGGUGACAGCAGUGCUCCAAAUAACCCCUCAACUACAGCAGCAGCAACUACCAUAGGUGGAGCACCUACUGCUAGUACCACCACAACUACCAAUACUACCAGCAGUCAAGGAGGGAACCAGACAACCACCACAAGCAUUAACACCAGCAUUAGUAGUAUCACAAGUAGCAGCAGCAGUAGCAGCACUACCACCAAUAGCACUAAUAAUGUUGGAGGCACAAACAAGACCUCCACGCCAUCACCACAGUCCACUCCAAAUCUCCCACCCUCCAUGCAGGAGAACCCACAGGAUAACUAAUCCACACAUUCGGAAUUUACGUUUGCUUAAGAUGGAAGAAAAAAUUGUAUGAAAAUGAAACCAUAGUUUCAGCUGUUUGGCAUUAAAUACUUGGGAGGAUGGACUUGUUUGCCAAUGCUGUUGUGUAGUGCUGCACCAAGGGGGAAAGGUCACACAAGAGAAUGACGCAACAUGGAUGUGAAGAUUCUCAUUUCAUUAUAUGAGUCUGACCAAGAGUGAAUCACUGCUUGAUUCUUUUUUUUUUUUUUUUUUUUUUUUCUUCUUCUUUUUUUCUUUUUUUUAAUGGCAGUGUACAAGAGCACUUGCAAAGGACUUUUGUUAUUUAUCUUCAGAAGAAAAAAUAUAUACAUAUGAUUGUAAAUAAAUAGAGAAUGGCAGUGAGAUAAAUUGCUGAAAGAAGAUUGUUCCUUCUGCUCAAAGUGUAUGUUGGGACCCUUCCUGUAUAUCAUGUGACUUUGGUGAUCACAAGUUCACAGCAGAACUAUAUGUAGAGAAGUGGUGUGAAUAUAUCACCAAUGAUUAUUUAUAUGGAAAUAAGUGUAAGCGUUACCGGUGAACCAUGGAGGGUGGGAGGGUGGAGCCACCUGUGUAUCUAGUGACAAUUAUGGAAGUCAAACGAAUGUCUGUAUUUUUGCACCUUGAUUUCCGUAGCAAGUGGCUUUUGAAAUUCAUUCUGUAGGAGAAGCUUUCUGAGAAGUUUAAAGUAUCUUACAUGUGUUAUAUUCUUAAAAAUCUGUCCUUUUUUACUGAGUAAUAUCCUUUUCAUAAAUACACUAGUAAGGGUGUGCUUAAUUCAGUAUUUUAAGUAUCAAAUUUUCCUGUGUACCUACGGAAAGACUCCACAAGUGACUAGUCAAGCAGUGAGUAGUGGAAGCCCCUAAGCCAGCCAGCUGUUCUAUUCUGGACUUGGAAGGUAGCACCAACCUACUGAGUCCAGAGCUUGUAAACAAGUGGUGCCAUGUUUAGGUGUCACAGUGCAAUGUACAGGUGUUGCAGUGCCACACAUGUGUCGCAGUACAACUGGCUGGCUGCUUCUGUAGAAGAGCAUCAUGGCCAUCAUGGUCCGAGUGCCAACACCAUGUGAACUACUUUGUCAGAUGGGGAAGCACUGUUAGCCUCCUAGCACAUCACCUGCUGUUGCAAAGUGCAAUGUUUGAAAAAAAAAAAAAAAAAAAAGAUAUAUAACUCACUAGUUUUAGUGAAUUUUUUUGUAGUGGGAUUGAGGCAGUGCCUGUGAAUAUGAAUGAAGUACCAGUGAUCCAUAGGAAAUGUGAAAGGAACAGUGAGGCUCAAAGCUUGAAUUCCAAGUUUGUGGAUUCCACUUCAUGGUAUGCUUGGAUUCUGGCAAAUAUUAGCAUGGAGAUAUCUUUUUCUGCUGUUGAUGCCAUGGUUUGGAGAAAUGAUAGCUGUGUAAGAAUCCAUAUCCUAGAAACAUUUGAUACUCCAACAUUAUCUGCAGUUGAAUAUUACUCUUUGCUGACCGGCAUUUCAAGUCACACCCUGCACCAGUCAACCAAGCAUCUUUUUCAGCUUGGAGUACUGCGACUCUUGUAUCAUUGUGAGAACGUUGGUCAUUGCAAUCGGUAGGCUUGUUGUCAGUCUGGCUCUUAUCUGGUAAAAAGAAAAAAAAAUGAUAAUAUAAUAAUAAAAAAAAUCUAAGGAUGGGAGCCUUAUUGACCCUCAGGAUUCCCGGUUAUUAUGAUGGUAACCCUCACAAUCCCCGCUUGUUGUCUGUGAGCCGUGCUGCUGCCAAGGUGUAACCACCUCUUGUUGUGACUUAGUAAGUUUUUUGUAUGGAAACUUUUGUUAGUUCCCUAUUUAUAUUAAUGAUAAAGCAGUUUGGAGUGGAAAUAGUGGUAGCAGUCAGUCACCAUCGUUAGGAGCUGAUCCAGCCUCGUGCAUCCGCUUGUUACUGUCUUGUUUGCCUACUAAUGUAUUAUAGGUUUCCCACACAGAUGCCUUUUUUGUUUUAAGGAACUCAAGUUUGGAUACUGAAAAAAAAAAAAAAAAUGCAAUUGGGAAAUGAGUGGCUGUUAUGUAAAUUCAAAAUGGGUUGAUCAUGCAAUGUUCAUAUUUGAAGGAUGGUAGGUGGAAAUUGUCAAUUGGUUGAUAUUUUUCUUUUUUUACAUAUAUAUAUUUGCUGCCACCAACUGUGAUUAUAUGAAAUUGUGAAGACUUGUAAACAAUGUAUGAUGUAGUAUUUUCAUGUUACUACCUUGUCAAUAAUUGUAAAGCACCAGAGCAUACUUGUAUAUCACUGUAUAAGAUAUAAUUUAAUUGAAAUGGAGCACUUUUUUAUUGAAGUCAUUUAACAGAUUUAUUUUUAUGCCAAUGCCCUUUUUCUUCAACAUCAUGCUUUUGUGUCCAAAAUAAAACCAGUGCUUAUUUUUAUCUUUUAUUUGUGUUCAGGAUUCUCAUUAAUUUAUUGCUGUAUGGCUGAAUAUGCUAAAAUAUAACUAAAAAGUUUG